Non-coding RNA from Acanthosepion pharaonis, 101 nucleotides. The record is from the annotation of a GenBank genome assembly. NCBI's taxonomy places the organism in Eukaryota, Metazoa, Mollusca, Cephalopoda, Sepiida, Sepiidae.
GCAUUGAAACAUUGGUUCCUGUACGAUUACCGAAGUUAAGCAAUGUCGAGCUUGGUUAGUACCUAAAUGGGUGACUGCUUGGGAGUACAAGGUGCUGUAAG